GAGGGGGUGAUUAGUGACAGAGUGAGGGAGGGGGUGACUAGUGACAGUGAGGGAGUGGGUGACAGUGACAGAGUUAGGGAGGGAGUGACUAGUGACAGUCACUCCCUCCCUCUGUCACUAGUCACUCCCUCCCUCUGUCACUAGUCACUCCCUCACUCUGUCACCAGUCAUCCCCUCACUCUGUCACCAGUCACCCCUUCCCUCCCUCACUCUGCCACUAGUCAUCUUUUCCCUC
Molecule: non-coding RNA, 235 nt
Organism: Pelobates cultripes (western spadefoot toad)
Lineage: Eukaryota; Metazoa; Chordata; Amphibia; Anura; Pelobatidae
Source: the annotation of a GenBank genome assembly